Molecule: long non-coding RNA, 290 nt
Organism: Rhincodon typus (whale shark)
Lineage: Eukaryota; Metazoa; Chordata; Chondrichthyes; Orectolobiformes; Rhincodontidae
Exons: 2
Source: RefSeq, a predicted model, not a curated record
UCCAGAAGACUCUGCAAUUUUCAUCGACUUGUGUCUGUUGACUUUGACCGUGGCUUCCAGCCAUUCCUGGGCCUUUCCUCAUUCUGCGAUUGCAACAGCCCGGCCUUGGCUAGAUUUUGCCAUUCCACUCCACGAGAGCAUUUUAAGGCUUGAAAUCUGCCUGGAGCGCUGAAACUAAGUUGCUUUGAGUCAGGUGCAUUCGGGAGGGAGGCAAAGGUGAAAUGACUUCAUCUGACGGAGGAGCAACGAUCCGAAAGCCUGUGAUUUCAAAUAAACCUGUUGGACUGUAA